RNAcentral lists this ribosomal RNA (253 nucleotides) under uncultured bacterium. RNAcentral's name for it is "partial 16S ribosomal RNA". It matches the Rfam family "Bacterial small subunit ribosomal RNA", at positions 524 to 776 of the family's 1533-position model. The record is from RNAcentral.
UACAGAGGUGGCAAGCGUUGUUCGGAAUUACUGGGCGUAAAGGGCGCGUAGGCGGUCUUGUAAGUCCUGUGUGAAAUCCCCCGGCUCAACUGGGGAACUGCACAGGAAACUAGCGGGCUUGAGUUCGGGAGAGGGAAGCGGAAUUCCGGGUGUAGCGGUGAAAUGCGUAGAUAUCCGGAGGAACACCGGUGGCGAAGGCGGCUUCCUGGACCGACACUGACGCUGAGGCGCGAAAGCGUGGGUAGCAAACAGG